Molecule: ribosomal RNA, 429 nt
Filed under: Pseudomonadota bacterium
Lineage: Bacteria; Pseudomonadati; Pseudomonadota
Description: Proteobacteria bacterium partial 16S ribosomal RNA
Rfam family: Bacterial small subunit ribosomal RNA
Source: RNAcentral
UGGGGAAUAUUGGACAAUGGGGGGAACCCUGAUCCAGCCAUGCCGCGUGUGUGAAGAAGGCCUUAUGGUUGUAAAGCACUUUAAGCGAGGAGGAGGGUACUGGUAUUAAUACUACCAGGUACUGGACGUUACUCGCAGAAUAAGCACCGGCUAACUCUGUGCCAGCAGCCGCGGUAAUACAGAGGGUGCGAGCGUUAAUCGGAUUUACUGGGCGUAAAGCGUGCGUAGGCGGCUAAUUGAGUCGGAUGUGAAAUCCCGGAGCUAACUUGGGAAUUGCAUUCGAUACUGGUUAGCUCGAGUGUGGGAGAGGAUGGUAGAAUUCCAGGUGUAGCGGUGAAAUGCGUAGAGAUCUGGAGGAAUACCGAUGGCGAAGGCAGCCAUCUGGCCUAACACUGACGCUGAGGUACGAAAGCAUGGGGAGCAAACAGG